This 253-nucleotide ribosomal RNA is filed under the name uncultured bacterium. RNAcentral's name for it is "partial 16S ribosomal RNA". It matches the Rfam family "Bacterial small subunit ribosomal RNA", at positions 524 to 776 of the family's 1533-position model. The record is from RNAcentral.
UACGGAGGGUGCAAACGUUGCUCGGAAUUAUUGGGCGUAAAGCGCACGUAGGCGGACCAUCAAGUCGGAUGUGAAAUCCCUCGGCUUAACCGAGGACGUGCAUUCGAAGCUGAUGGCCUUGAGUACGAAAGAGGAUCGCGGAAUUCCCGGUGUAGAGGUGAAAUUCGUAGAUAUCGGGAGGAACACCGGUGGCGAAGGCGGGUCUCUGGGCCGAAACUGACGCUGAGGAGCGAAAGCGUGGGGAGCGAACAGG